GAUGAACGCUGGCGGCGUGCCUAAUACAUGCAAGUCGAGCGAACGGACGAGAAGCUUGCUUCUCUGAUGUUAGCGGCGGACGGGUGAGUAACACGUGGAUAACCUACCUAUAAGACUGGGAUAACUUCGGGAAACCGUAGCUAAUACCGGAUAAUAUAUUGAACCGCAUGGUUCAAAAGUGAAAGACGGUCUUGCUGUCACUUAUAGAUGGAUCCGCGCUGCAUUAGCUAGUUGGUAAGGUAACGGCUUACCAAGGCAACGAUGCAUAGCCGACCUGAGAGGGUGAUCGGCCACACUGGAACUGAGACACGGUCCAGACUCCUACGGGAGGCAGCAGUAGGGAAUCUUCCGCAAUGGGCGAAAGCUUGACGGAGCAACGCCGCGUGAGUGAUGAAGGUCUUCGGAUCGUAAAACUCUGUUAUUAGGGAAGAACAUAUGUGUAAGUAACUGUGCACAUCUUGACGGUACCUAAUCAGAAAGCCACGGCUAACUACGUG
Molecule: ribosomal RNA, 497 nt
Filed under: uncultured bacterium
Lineage: Bacteria
Description: partial 16S ribosomal RNA
Rfam family: Bacterial small subunit ribosomal RNA
Source: RNAcentral